CUGCAGGCCAGGCGGCCUCGCGCGGCAGGCCCAGGCCCAAGGGAAAAUGUAGGUUGCCCGAGGCAGAUGCACGAUUCCAAGUCACUUUGGCAGUUUUUAAUGUGGAGAAGGCUCUUUCUGCAGAGGGAACGUUGCGGAGCUGCUGGGAGUGUCUCAUAGGCUGUGGCGACCUGGGAAGCUGCUCUGCGGAGCCACCGGAGGCGCAGAUUUCAGCACAUCGAGAGCAGAUGAGCGGCUAGUCCCAAAACUGUCCGCGCUUCAGACAGAUGACUUUCGCAGAAGUUUGAGUGUGCUUGUAGAUGCAAAUCUAUCGUGAUUAUGUUUCCUCGGACGUUUCCUGUGCUUGUGGAGCUCAUAGGAGAGACUGAAGGUGAAUUCACGAUUGCACACAACUUACAACAUCUGUUUGUGGAUUCCAUCAGUGUAUCUUCAACUGUAAGAAAAAUUAAUUUCAAAACUUCUGCAUUAAUACCUGGAUACUCCAA
This 485-nucleotide long non-coding RNA is filed under the name Homo sapiens (human). RNAcentral's name for it is "HSALNT0309807". The record is from RNAcentral. Lineage: Eukaryota; Metazoa; Chordata; Mammalia; Primates; Hominidae.